This is a non-coding RNA of Paramuricea clavata, 251 nucleotides long. The record is from the annotation of a GenBank genome assembly. Lineage: Eukaryota; Metazoa; Cnidaria; Anthozoa; Malacalcyonacea; Plexauridae.
UGAGCAGAGCCCAUGAAAAAGCUAUCCAUACCCCUACAGUCAUUCAGCUUUCUUGCUAUUUAGAAGUGGUUGCGCAUUAGUUGAAGAAGAAUUGCUAUUGUAUGCGCUUGUUUGCACUUCCUUUCCUGAAAAUGCCUACAAUAUUAAGGCUAAAUAGCAGAGAAAUAUGACCCAAUAAUCCAUGCGAUUGAAAAUGUCUGUCAAAUUAAUUUUAAAAAUCAUGAUUUGAGGAAUUAUAUCUAUCAGGCAAC